AACUCAGUCAGGAGGAGGAGACCCUGGAGAGAGGAGAAGAAAUUUUCCCUCCAUGAAGGCAGGCUGGAGAGAACAACAGGGACCAGGUGACCCUGCUGGGGCUGCGGGAGCUCAUAAUCAAAGAUGACAUGGGAUACACAGGCUGACUGGAUGUGGAACUGGAUUUUUCUGAAUUUAUCGUCAUACACCCCAUCAUCACUGCAACAAAGCAGAAAAAUCCACCAUCACCGUAACAGAGCAGAAAUGUCCAGUGAUCACACUGAGCAUCUGAUGAAAAACUUUCUGUGUUUAAAAAAAAAAAAAAAAGUCAAAAGAUUCUUGUAUGAGAAUAAAAGUGGGACACAUCUCCGAGAUCGCUGGGGCAGCCUCUUGGCUGGUGUGAAAGUUUUAUAGUUACAGCACCACUUCCACAGUUCUCCAGUGUGUUUCAGGAUUCAUGUACACUGGGGCGG
Long non-coding RNA from Chelonia mydas (Green sea turtle), 452 nucleotides. RefSeq lists it as uncharacterized. The record is from RefSeq and is a predicted model, not a curated record. NCBI's taxonomy places the organism in Eukaryota, Metazoa, Chordata, Testudines, Cheloniidae. The transcript is spliced from 3 exons.